This 747-nucleotide ribosomal RNA is filed under the name uncultured archaeon. RNAcentral describes it as "bacterial SSU rRNA". It matches the Rfam family "Archaeal small subunit ribosomal RNA", at positions 52 to 805 of the family's 1478-position model. The record is from RNAcentral.
UGCGAGUCUUUGCAGUAAUGCAAGGCAUACGGCUCAGUAACACGUAGUCAACUUACCCUAUGGACGAGGAUAAUCUCGGGAAACUGAGCAUAAUACUCGAUAGAUCAUAAUGCCUGGAAUGGUUUAUGGUUGAAAUGAUUCGUCGCCAUAGGAUGGGACUGCGGCCUAUCAGCUUGUUGGUGAGGUAAUGGCCCACCAAGGCGAUUACAGGUACGGGCUCUGAGAGGAGAAGCCCGGAGAUGGGUACUGAGACAAGGACCCAGGCCCUAUGGGGCGCAGCAGGCGAGAAAACUUUGCAAUGUGCGAAAGCACGACAAGGUUAAUCCGAGUGAUUUCUGCUAAAGAAAUCUUUUGCAAGUCAUAAAACCACUAGUGAAUAAGGGGUGGGCAAGUUCUGGUGUCAGCCGCCGCGGUAAAACCAGCACCUCAAGUGGUCAGGAGGAUUAUUGGGCCUAAAGCAUCCGUAGCCGGCUCUGUAAGUUUUCGGUUAAAUCCAUGUGCUCAACGCAUGGGCUGCCGAAAAUACUGCAUAGCUAGGGAGUGGGAGAGGUAGACGGUACUCGGUAGGAAGGGGUAAAAUCCUUUGAUCUAUCGAUGACCACCUGUGGCGAAGGCGGUCUACCAGAACACGUUCGACGGUGAGGGAUGAAAGCUGGGGGAGCAAACCGGAUUAGAUACCCGGGUAGUCCCAGCUGUAAACGACGCAGACUCGAUGAUGCAUUGGCAUAUAGCCAGUGCAGUGUCGCA